Brassica napus (rape) is the source of this 116-nucleotide non-coding RNA. The record is from Rfam. Lineage: Eukaryota; Viridiplantae; Streptophyta; Magnoliopsida; Brassicales; Brassicaceae.
GGAAUAUAAAAACCCGUUUUUUAAUUUUUAACUAAAAAAACUAAGAGCUGUUUCUUAAAAAAGAGACUGCUCUUAGUUUUUUUAGUUAAAAGUUAAGAGUCGGGUUCUUAUAUUCC